UCAAAGUGAUCAACAACCUAGUGUUGUAUCGGGUGGAGUAUGGACAAGUACACAAUUCGCAUCCUUGCGCUAGCCCUACUGACUCUGCAUCUCGUAUGCUCUACCACUGUUGUUCAAUGCCGAAUCAUGUCUGACAUGGAUAUGGAGAAGAUUAGUUUACCACACGGCCUGCUCAUGUGGCUCGGGUUUAUUGUAGCGUUGAGGGAUAUUGCGACUGUUGUUUGGUAGAUGAUUUGUGCUAUCCAACUAUGGAUGAGUGCGAGAGAAAGUGUAAAAAAUCCUUGUCUUCAGAAGACAUACUACGGGCGAUGACAUCCCCUCCUUAUUUACCUGCUCCUUAAUUUUCCAGCCUAGUCAAAUUGGCUUUCUUGCAUAUUUACUUGUCCCGAGAAAUAAAUAUAAUGCCUAAUAUGUGUGUGGAAAUAAAUAUAAUGCCUGAUAUGUGUGUGGAAA
Molecule: long non-coding RNA, 453 nt
Organism: Aegilops tauschii subsp. strangulata
Lineage: Eukaryota; Viridiplantae; Streptophyta; Magnoliopsida; Poales; Poaceae
Source: RefSeq, a predicted model, not a curated record